Molecule: ribosomal RNA, 253 nt
Filed under: uncultured bacterium
Lineage: Bacteria
Description: partial 16S ribosomal RNA
Rfam family: Bacterial small subunit ribosomal RNA
Source: RNAcentral
UACAGGGGGGGCAAGCGUUGUUCGGAAUUACUGGGCGUAAAGGGCCAGUAGGCGGCCAACUAAGUCCGACGUGAAAUCCCCAGGCUUAACCUGGGAACUGCGUCGGAUACUGGAUGGCUUGAAUUCGGGAGAGGGAUGCAGAAUUCCAGGUGUAGCGGUGAAAUGCGUAGAUAUCAAGCGGAACACCAGUGGCGAAGGCGAGUCCCUGGACAACUCCUGACACUGAGGCACGAAAGCUAGGGGAGCAAACAGG